RNAcentral lists this ribosomal RNA (161 nucleotides) under Centaurea stuessyi. Its description in RNAcentral is "5.8S ribosomal RNA". It matches the Rfam family "5.8S ribosomal RNA". Rfam says of the family: 5.8S ribosomal RNA (5.8S rRNA) is a component of the large subunit of the eukaryotic ribosome. It is transcribed by RNA polymerase I as part of the 45S precursor that also contains 18S and 28S rRNA. Functionally, it is thought that 5.8S rRNA may be involved in ribosome translocation. RNAcentral also lists the same sequence under 1 other name. Lineage: Eukaryota; Viridiplantae; Streptophyta; Magnoliopsida; Asterales; Asteraceae. The record is from RNAcentral.
UCUCGGCAACGGAUAUCUUGGCUCACGCAUCGAUGAAGAACGUAGCAAAAUGCGAUACUUGGUGUGAAUUGCAGAAUCCCGUGAACCAUCGAGUUUUUGAACGCAAGUUGCGCCCGAAGCCAUUCGGCCGAGGGCACGUCUGCCUGGGCGUCACGCAUCGC